RNAcentral lists this long non-coding RNA (1338 nucleotides) under Scophthalmus maximus (turbot). RNAcentral's name for it is "lncRNA (ENSSMAG00000029896.1)". The record is from RNAcentral. Lineage: Eukaryota; Metazoa; Chordata; Actinopteri; Pleuronectiformes; Scophthalmidae.
UUACGUAAUAUCAUAACAUCUCUUCUCAGUACAAAAUCGCUGGUAUUGAACUAUACUAAGAGGUGUUUGAAAUAUUUCAAUCAUAUGGGAUGGACAGCCAACACUCAGGCUGAUCAAAUAAAAAGCAUAAUAUUAAAACUGGCUGAGGCUGGACUGCUGCAUCACUUUAGCUUUAUUUAGAUGUACCUAAUAAACUGACGGUUGGGUAUUUUAAUAAUGUAAUAAUAUUUUAAUAGAUUAGCUGACAUUCCACAUACAUACCUGUUGUCUUCUUGCAACUCAAACAGGCUUCUUACAAUUAGGAUCACAACAUGAAUAUAUAUAUAUUAAUGUAAUACGUACAUGUACCUCAUCUGUGUCACAUACAUCAUUAGUAACGUACAGUAAUUAUACUUUUUGACUCAGAACCUGGGCAUUUAUGGUGCUUAACAAGCAAUGAAAGACAGACAUAUCUCAAGCAAACACCUGUCAAAAAAGGUCAGAUGUGAGAGGGAAAUUUAAUUCUGGUCAACAAUUCAUAUAGUUAAAUAAGUAUUAAAUAGUUGAAUGGAUAUGUAUAAAAUACUGAAGACAUAACUAAGCAAUAAAUAUUAUAACAACAUAGAAUAAACCACACUUAAAAUCCUCAAAAAACGUCACGUACGAAGGUUUGCACAUCUGAAUGAUCAUUUAUCUUCGCCGUUCUGCCGUGUUGGUGGUGACAUAGAUGGUACCAUAUCAGGAUUCUUCCUCCUAGUGAUUCACAGAAGAAACGUUACAUCAACAGAAAACUCUUCCCUCCAUGCUGCGAUACUGUCUGUGAUUUGUGUUUCUGUUUACAUUGACAAACUAGGAUCAGUUCAUGAUGCACUGGUCCUCUGCAGCUCAGCCAUGUACCAACAGUUGCUGCAUCCACCAGCUGGUACUUUCUGCUGGGAACUGGAGGAUAUCUGUGUCUGCAGCCUCCGGUUGUCAUCUUGACACCAAACCUCCGGCCUGUAGAAGGUAGAACACCUUGUGUCAAUAAACACAGACUGUCUGCAUGUCCGAGUGAACAUGUCUAUAUGUAGACAGCUACACUCUCCAGAUGUUGUCAUGUUCUCUAGAAGUUUACAAUGCAGUUUAGAUGACAGAUACAUAAAUAGAACACAUGAACAUAAAUUAAAAAGAUUUUGGAUAAACAUGCAAGAUAAAGUAAACUUUUAUCAUUUCUGAUUCUGUAUGACCUUUUGUCAUAUGUUCAACCAGCUAGCCAUGUAGACAGAUUAAUAUGCUACUACUUGUGUGUAAAUAUGUUGCAUAUGUACAUUUCUUGUAAUGUUCUUUUUCUUGAUCUUACUAAUUAAAAUUUAACUGCAU